GAUAGGGCCAUGGCUCAGUUGCUGAGCAUCUGCUUUGCAAGCAGAAGGUCUCAGGUUCAAUCCCCCGUCAACCCUACUUCA
Podarcis lilfordi (Lilford's wall lizard) is the source of this 81-nucleotide non-coding RNA. The record is from the annotation of a GenBank genome assembly. NCBI's taxonomy places the organism in Eukaryota, Metazoa, Chordata, Lepidosauria, Squamata, Lacertidae.